RNAcentral lists this long non-coding RNA (2652 nucleotides) under Lactuca sativa (garden lettuce). Its description in RNAcentral is "long non-coding RNA (LSAT_LNC006187)". Lineage: Eukaryota; Viridiplantae; Streptophyta; Magnoliopsida; Asterales; Asteraceae. The record is from RNAcentral.
GACCGUUUUCGAGAGCCAGGAAACAGAGAUGCUGUGGGGUACGCGGUUAGGCUACAGGUCGGGUAACGCAGCAAGACCGUUUCCGAGAGCCAGGAAACAGAUAUGUUGUGGAGUCGUAAGUAGCAGGGCCGCUGUCGGGAUGAACUUCUUGCUGGAGAGUAUCCUCACAAUAGCAGGUUGUAAUGCGGAUAACACUUCAUCGAUCGUCCGAGCACGAGAGAGCCAUGAUGACUGUGAGAUAGGAAACACCAAGAUCAUGGUGUUGGUCAUAGAAUAAGCUUGUGAUGCGCGACUUAUGAUGUGCGACUUAGGAGAAUAGCUUGGGCUUAGCAGCCAAUGAUCGUAGAUACAUCACGCGAGAGAGCAUCAUGUGGAAUGGAUCGGGCUUGGCUGCCAACGAUCGUAGAUAAAUCACGCGGGAGAGCAUCGCGUGGAAUGGAUCGGGCUUGGCUGCCAGCGAUCAUAGAUAAAUCACGCGGAAGAGCAUCGCGUGAAAUGGUCGGAGCAUGUUGCUAUAAUGGAGUCAGGCUGAGAAGCCAGGCGACUCAAAGCGAGAGUACUGAACCUCGCAUACGGAGCUUGCCGCUAUAAUGGAGUCGCGCUGAGAAGCCAGGAGACUCGGGGCGAGGGUACUGAACCUCACAUGCGGAGCUUGCCGCUAUAAUGGAGUCGGGCUGAGAAGCCAGGCGACUCAAAGCGAGAGUACUGAACCUCGCAUACGGAGCUUGCCGCUAUAAUGGAGUCGCGCUGAGAAGCCAGGAGACUCGGGGCGAGGGUACUGAACCUCACAUGCGGAGCUUGCCGCUAUAAUGGAGUCGGGCUGAGAAGCCAGGCGACUCGAGGCGAGGGUAUUGAGCCUCUCAUGCAGAGCUUGCCGCUAAUAUGGAGUCGUGAUGAGGAGCCAGGUGAAUCGAGGCGUGGGUAUUGAACCUCGCAUGCGGAGCUUGCUGCUAUAAUGGAGUCGGGCUGGGAAGCCAGACGACUCAAGGCGAGGGUACUGAACCUCGUAUACGGAGCUGGCCGCUAUAAUGGAGUCGGGCUGAGAAGCCAGGCGACUCGAGGCGAGGGUACUGACCCUCGCAUGCGGAGCUUGCUGCUAUAAUGGAGUCGGGCUGGGAAGCCAGGCGACUCUAGGCGAGGGUACUGAACCUCGUAUACGGAGCUGGCCGCUAUAAUGGAGUCGGGCUGAGAAGCCAGGCGACUCGAGGCGAGGGUACUGACCCUCGCAUGCGGAGCUUGCUGCUAUAAUGGAGUCGGGCUGGGAAGCCAGGCGACUCUAGGCGAGGGUACUGAACCUCGUAUACGGAGCUGGCCGCUAUAAUGGAGUCGGGCUGAGAAGCCAGGCGACUCGAGGCGAGGGUACUGACCCUCGCAUGCGGAGCUUGCUGCUAUAAUGGAGUCGGGCUGGGAAGCCAGGCGACUCUAGGCGAGGGUACUGAACCUCGUAUACGGAGCUGGCCGCUAUAAUGGAGUCGGGCUGAGAAGCCAGGCGACUCGAGGCGAGGGUACUGACCCUCGCAUGCGGAGCUUGCUGCUAUAAUGGAGUCGGGCUGGGAAGCCAGGCGACUCUAGGCGAGGGUACUGAACCUCGUAUACGGAGCUGGCCGCUAUAAUGGAGUCGGGCUGAUAAGUCAGGCGACUCAAGGCAAGGGUGCUGAACCUUGCAUGCGGAGCAUGCCGUUAUAAUGGAGUCGGGCUGGGAAGCCAGGCGACUCUAGGCGAGGGUACUGGACCUCGCAUGCGGAGCUUGCCGCUAGAGUGGAGUCGGGCUGAGAAGCUAGGCGACUCGAGGCGAGGGUACUGAACCUCGCAUGAUUGGGCGUAGCACCCAACAAUCCAUGUUUCUAGCUCGUGUUAUCAGUAUGGGUUAAAGCAGAAUGGUACCUGAUGCUCUGCUGCAUCGCUAGUUGUACUGAUAGUUGAUGCCUCGGUGUCUUGGCUAUCUGCGAAGAGCUAUGUGGCGGUGCUACUUAGAGCUUGAUAGUGUAGCUUUUGUUAGGAGGUGCACAACGAAACUGCUGUCAAGAACUGGUCAACAGGGCCGCUGAGAACUGGGCCUCGAGCUGCUAGCUAUGGAUGAGCAACAUGACUACUGAGAGCUGGGCAACGAGCCUCCCAAGGGUUGAACUACGAGGCUGCCCUUUCGAUCUAAUGUCACCUCGGGAAUACACUAUCACGUACGGUAUCAGCUCUUCAUAUACUUUAACUCUGCCCCUUUAGAAUAAAAAUCACUUCUGCAUAGUGUUACGCAGCAAGACCAUUUCCGAGAGCCAGGAAACAGAGAUGUUGUGGGGUACGUGGUUAGGAUACAGGUCGUGUUACGCAACAAGACCGUUUUCGAGAGCCAGGAAACAGAGAUGUUGUGGGGUACGCGGUUAGGCUACAGGUCGGGUAACGCAGCAAGACCGUUUCCGAGAGCCAGGAAACAGAUAUGUUGUGGAGUCGUAAGUAGCAGGGCCGCUGUCGGGAUGAACUUCUUGCUGGAGAGUAUCCUCACAAUAGCAGGUUGUAAUGCAGAUAACACUUCAUCGAUCGUCCGAGCACGAGAGAGCCAUGAUGACUGUGAGAUAGGAAACACCAAGAUCAUGGUGUUGGUCAUAGAAUAAGCUUGUGAUGCGCGACUUAUGAUGUGCGACUUAGGAGAAUAGCUUG